RNAcentral lists this ribosomal RNA (638 nucleotides) under Candida saraburiensis. RNAcentral's name for it is "partial large subunit ribosomal RNA". It matches the Rfam family "Eukaryotic large subunit ribosomal RNA", at positions 1 to 656 of the family's 3401-position model. Lineage: Eukaryota; Fungi; Ascomycota; Pichiomycetes; Serinales; Debaryomycetaceae. The record is from RNAcentral.
UGCUUCUCCAUAAGCUGAGGAAAGAAACGUUUCCAUUUUCCCUCUCCCGAUGGAUAAAGAAACCAACAGGGAUUGCCAUAGUAGCUGCGAGUGAGCGGCAAAAGCUCAAAUUUGAAAUCUGGCGCCUUCGGUGUCCGAGUUGUAAUUUGAAGAUGGUUACCUUGGGGUUGGCUCUUGUCUAUGUUUCUUGGAACAGGACUUCACGGAGGGUGAAAAUCCCGUGCGAUGAGAUGCCCAAUUCUAUGUAAGGUGCUUUCAAACAGUCUAGUUGUUUGGGAAUGCAGCUCUAAGUGGGUGGUAAAUUCCAUCUAAAGCUAAAUAUUGGCGAGAGACCGAUAGCGAACAAGUACAGUGAUGGAAAGAUGAAAAGAACUUUGAAAAGAGAGUGAAAAAGUACGUGAAAUUGUUGAAAGGGAAGGGUUUGAAAUCAGACUCGCUAUUUUGUGAGCCUUUCCUCUCCGGCGGGGUGCCCCCCCUCUUAUCGGGACAGCAUCGGUUUGGGAGGGUAGGAUAAUGGCGUAUGAAUGUGACUCUCCUUCGUUGAACUGUUAUACUCCUGCGUUGAUGCUGCCUGCCUAGACCGACGACUGCUAUUUUAUGAAGGAUGCUGGGGUAUUGAUCCCUGCCGCCCAUUCUUA